This is a non-coding RNA of Pelobates cultripes (western spadefoot toad), 289 nucleotides long. The record is from the annotation of a GenBank genome assembly. Lineage: Eukaryota; Metazoa; Chordata; Amphibia; Anura; Pelobatidae.
GUGAGUGUGUGUGUGUGUCUGUGUGUGUGUGUUUCUGUGAGUGUGUGUCUGUGAGUAUGUAUGUGUGUGUGUCAGUGUGUCUGUGAGUGUGUGUCUGUGAGUAUGUGUGUGUGUCUGUGAGUAUGUGUGUGUGUCUGUGUCUGUGUGUGUGUCUGUGUGUGUGUUUCUGUGAGUGUGUGUGUGUUUCUGUGAGUGUGUGUGUGUUUCUGUGAGUGUGUGUGUUUCUGUGAGUGUGUGUCUGUGAGUAUGUAUGUGUGUGUGUCAGUGUGUGUCUGUGAGUAUGUAUGUG